This 497-nucleotide ribosomal RNA is filed under the name uncultured bacterium. Its description in RNAcentral is "partial 16S ribosomal RNA". It matches the Rfam family "Bacterial small subunit ribosomal RNA", at positions 28 to 507 of the family's 1533-position model. The record is from RNAcentral.
GAUGAACGCUGGCGGCGUGCCUAAUACAUGCAAGUCGAGCGAACGGACGAGAAGCUUGCUUCUCUGAUGUUAGCGGCGGACGGGUGAGUAACACGUGGAUAACCUACCUAUAAGACUGGGAUAACUUCGGGAAACCGGAGCUAAUACCGGAUAAUAUUUUGAACCGCAUGGUUCAAAAGUGAAAGACGGUCUUGCUGUCACUUAUAGAUGGAUCCUCGCUGCAUUAGCUAGUUGGUAAGGUAACGGCUUACCAAGGCAACGAUGCAUAGCCGACCUGAGAGGGUGAUCGGCCACACUAGAACUGAGACACGGUCCAGACUCCUACGGGAGGCAGCAGUAGGGAAUCUUACGCAAUGGGCGAAAGCCUGACGGAGCAACGCCGCGUGAGUGAUGAAGGUCUUCGGAUCGUAAAACUCUGUUAUUAGGGAAGAACAUAUGUGUAAGUAACUGUGCACAUCUUGACGGUACCUAAUCAGAAAGCCACGGCUAACUACGUG